Molecule: ribosomal RNA, 497 nt
Filed under: uncultured bacterium
Lineage: Bacteria
Description: partial 16S ribosomal RNA
Rfam family: Bacterial small subunit ribosomal RNA
Source: RNAcentral
GAUGAACGCUGGCGGCGUGCCUAAUACAUGCAAGUCGAGCGAACAGAUGAGGAUCUUGCUCCUCUGACGUUUGCGGCGGACGGGUGAGUAACGCGUGGAUACCCUACCUAUCAGACUGGGAACACUUCGAGAAUCCGGCUCUAAUACCGGAUGAUCUCUUGCACCGCAUUGUUCAAUAGUGAAAUUCGGCUUUGCUGUCACUUAUAGAUGGAUCCGGGCCGAAUUAGCUAGUUGGUAGGGUCACGGGUUACCACGGCAACGAUGCGUAGCCGACCUGAGAGGGUGGUCGGCGACACUGGAACGGAGACACGGUCCAGAGGCCUGAGGGAGGCAGCAGUAGGGAACGUGCCGCAAUGGGCGAAAGCCUGACGGAGCAACGCCGCGUGAGUGAUGAAGGUCUCCGGAGCGGAAAACUCGGUUAUGAGGGAAGAACAAAUGUGUAAGUAACUAUGCACGUCUUGACGGUACCUAGUCAGAAAGCAACGGCUAACUACGUG